This 5522-nucleotide long non-coding RNA is filed under the name Homo sapiens (human). RNAcentral's name for it is "HSALNT0358777". The record is from RNAcentral. Lineage: Eukaryota; Metazoa; Chordata; Mammalia; Primates; Hominidae.
AAUGAUUUUAUUUAUUUUAACAUUUUAAAAUGUUUUCCUUUGGGGAAUUCUAAUUUAUAUAUCAAUAUUCAGGUAAUAUUUGCUGAAAACACAAACAGAGUCAAAAUGAUCUGCAUUCACAUUCUCAUUUUCUAUUAUAACAUAGAGACAACUACUUUAUUAUCUUUUUAGAAACUUUUGCAACUACUUUAGUUUCUUCCUAAUUUUAUAAAUUAAUCUAUCUCAAAAAACUUUGCCCAAAAGACUUAGUAAUAGCUGUCAACUUCAGAAAAACUAAAACUUUAAAGAUAACUUUUAGAAGGAAAAUGAAAUACAGAAAUAAUGUAUCUUAUUUACACUUAAUUAAAAAUAAUAUGAAUUGUCACUAUUUCCUAUGAAAACAUCUCAUGCCAAAUUUCUUUUAUUAAGCUAGGAUUUAAAAGAUAAUUUAGUUGAAACUGGUAGAAUCUUAGUAAAAUUAUAACAAUAAGAAAUUUUUAUAUUAUAUAUAAUAUAGAAUAAUCACAUUUAAUUCCACUUGUUAGUCUAUUCUGAUUCUUUAGCAAGUUGAUUCAUAAUUUGCCAACUUGGGUCAGAAAUAUUUUCUAUUCUUAGCUUUUGCUGUCAGCAGAGAUAAUAAUAAUAUAGAACCUGAACAACAAAGGAUUGUGUAUUGUUUCAAUUUAAUUAAAGUUGAUUCCCUGCUUUAAGAGAGACUCACAUUUUAUAUAUUUUUUUAUUAAAAAGAGAAUGUAGAUAUUUGCUUUUCCAAAUUUCCCAUAAGAUAAAGAAAACAUAUUUUUUCUUAAUUACACCCUUGCUAAGUCACGCUAGCUGCCUGACCUUGGACAAAAUUCUUAACCUCUUUGUGUCUCAUUUUCAAUAACUGUGAAUUAAAGAUGAUUAUUGUAGUAUAUUUCUCAAGGGAUUGUUGUGGGAAUUAAAUAAAAUAAUCCUCUAAAAUGCUUAGUACAGAUUCUGGAACAUAAUAAGCAGAAAAAAUUAAUAACUUAUUAUUUUUAUUUACUAUAUUAUAUGACAUACUUUUUCUUUAUGAUCUUCAGGGGAAUUUCUACUCAUCUUAAAAACAUAUAUAGAUAUUGAUCUGCGGAGAAAUAUAUCUCUGUUAUUUCAAGGUCUGUGGAUUACAUAAUGGUCAACUCUGAUUGAUUUACUGAUUGAUUCAAAAAAUUUUAAAGCAAAACUAAAAAUAUUGCAGCUAUGUUGGUUUUAACCAUUCUAAACUCUGAUGAAAUUUGCUUUCUGUUUGGUUUGUGACUAGGAAGCUAAACAUUAUUUAUUAGUAAUGAAAAUUUCUGGUGUCUAAAAAAAUUCAAGAGGAAAACCAUUAGAUUCUAUUACAAUUAAAUCUGUUAAGAUUUAAUUGCAAAUAUGUAGAUAGUGCAAAUAUGUCUUAGGGUACAAUUUUUGUUCUCAUUAAGUUACCCAUUUUACAUUUUGAGAACACUAACAGAUGAAAUACUUGUCAAAGAGAAGAUCUAAGAUGGUUUAAAGAAAAUAUUAAAUGAAAUCAAACUUACUUGUCAAGCUCCAUAGCACAACUUACAAGUCAUAAAUCGCACUCUGUAUGACAGCUACGGGAGGGAUCUGGGUAGUAAAACAAAAUGAUGGAUUUUAUCUUUCCUGUUUUUGAGUUAUUAAGAACUAGUUGAACUAUAGAAUGACGUGAAAGACUCACAUCAGGGAUGGGAGGUUAUUUGCAGAAACUCUUAUUUUCUUUAUCACAUUAAUGUCAAUAUUUGACAUUUCCAUACGACUAAUUAUUGAACUAAUUUUUGAUUUCUUAUGCCAACUGUUAAUAAUCCUCUUUUCAUCCAGAAAACAAUCACUUUUUGUCUAUCUGUAAAUUGACAUUUGUUAUGUUAAUUUGUUUUUGCUUAUUACAAGGAUUAUCUUUUAUUUACAACAAAGCAUUCACAGAUUGCCGUGACAGAUUUGUCUUCAAUCAAAUCUCAUAAACAUUAAUUGAAUUAUUGAAAGGAAUUUGUAAAUUAUUGUGUUUUUUCUAAAAUAGUAACAUCAGCGUGUAUAUUACGUUAAUUUUGUUUACAGUUUUUUGCUUCACAUUAACUAUAUUUAACUGAUUUUAACAGCCUUAGAUAACUCCAAAACAUCAAUUACUUUACUUGGAUUUAUUAAUUCAUUCAAAAAAUAUAUAUAUAAUGAGAAUCUAUUAUUUGCCAGGCACUGGGCUAGGCAAAGGUAAGAGUGAAUGGCAAAAUCAUGUUCUCCCUGUUUUCCUGUAAUAUAUUGUCUGGCUAAAGGCUGUGAAGGAAGAGUAAUGUGAAGGAAGAGUAUUCGAAGGAUAUAAGAAAAGGGAUCACACAAUUAACUGUAUGUAGGCUGUUCUUAGGGAAGAUUUCUUCUAGAGGUGGUACUUGGCCUUCAGUCAGAAGCAUGAUUUGAUAUUUGAUGUUAACCAGGUAAUUGAGGGGAUAAGGUGCUUUCUCAGCAGAAAAGACAUAGUAGGCAAAGUCUUUAAGUUAAAAGCAUAGUGAAAGCUCAAAACUAAAAGGAGGCUUGGGUGUCUGGACUCCAGAGACAGGAAGAGAGUUUAUAGAGUCUAGCAGAGAUAGCAGAGAAGACUUUAUCUUUUUUUUUUCUUUUUUUUUUUUUCUGUAGCAAACAUCUUUCCUGUGAAAAAUUCCCUCUCCUAGUACUUUAGUUCUGUGGAUCCAAAAUUUAUAGCAUUCUUCUACCACCACAGGGGCUCAUAUGACAUUAACAGACAAGACACUUUUCAGAAAGACAGGUUGUUCUUUUGGGCCACAUCUAAGAAAUCUUUGUCUAGCCAAAAGCCACAAAUAAUUUCUCAUUUUUUGGCUUCUGGAAGAUGUACAGUUAAAUGUUAUAUUUGGGACUGUUAUCUAAUUUGGUUAAAUUGCACUCUACAAUAUGGUAUUUGAAUUGAUGAAAAAUUAGUAAAUGUUAAUAUUUUUUAAAGUAGCCAAAUCUUGCAAUUUAUAUAUAAUAGAGAAGACUAGAAAAUCCCCCAUAUUUAUUUCCUCUUACUUCGUACUACUAAAAUUUGUAUUUAGGCAUUUGGUUUCUCAGAUAAACAUUACAUUCCCCAGUAUAUGGUUCUAUCUGGCUUGGUGACGACAUGUUGAACAUUAAGAUGUGAGCAGAAGUAAUACAUACACACUCUUUUUCAUGUCUUUAAUUGAAUGGGAUAUUGGCCCAUUUUUUCUUCCAGUUUAUUACACUGAAUAUUGACAUGUUAUUUUCCAAUAUUGAGACAAUCAAUGACAAGACUUUAAGAGUAACAAUGUAAAAAUACAGAAGUUGUCUGAGUUUAUCAACAAUCCCCUGGAUUAGAACCCCCUACCAGUUCUAGGUCAUCUAAUAUAUAGACAUUGUGUUCAGUAGAAAUAAAUAUAUAUAUUUUUUAUUAUGCUUUAAGUUCUAGGAUACAUGUGCACAACAUGCAGUUUUGUUACAUUGGUAUACACGUGCCAUGUUGGUUUGCUGCACCCAUUAACUCAUCAUUUACAUUAGGUAUUUCUCCUAAUGCUAUCCCUCCCCCUGCCCCCACCCCCGACAGGCCCUGGGGUGUGAUUUUCCCCACCCUGUGUCCAAGUGUUCUCAUUGCUCAAUUCCCACCUAUGGGAAUACAUUUUUAAAUCAUUUUUAAAGGUGUUAUUACAUUCUGAUUGAACAUUUUCAGAAAGAAUAAAUAAUUUAAUACAAGAAGUGGGCCACUUCAUGUAACAAAACAAACCACCACUACAGCAACAACAACAAAAAACACUAAUGAAUGUGACUUUAGCUUUGCAACAUCGUGACAGACUAGCAAGUUAAUGACAUUUGUUAUGCCAUAGAAAAUAUUUGUUGAAUUGCCACUCUAAUGACUUUAUAUCAGCCAACUCAUUAUCAACACUAGAAAAGAUGAUUAAAAAAUACUUCAGUACGUUCACGUGUUGGCUUGUUAACAUUUUUAAGAGUCUAUAAGAGAAAAAUGCAUCCAAUCUUGACAAAAAUAUUUUUCAAGUAUCUUGUAGGUACGUACAACUAACUACCUUGUGAACAAAAGUCACUAUAUAAUUAUAUAAUUUCUGACACUUAAAAAAGUUUAUUGUGCUAAAGAAGAUAUAUGUUCUAAUACCAAAUCCACAUAUAAAAUAAUUGACUUAAAUAAUUUAAGAUGCUCUUUUAUAUAUUUAUAUUAAAAACUUUACAGAGAAUAAAAAAAGCAUUAUACAGGCUACUUAUGGUUUUUGAUGUUUGGAUCUACAAUACAUGUAUCAAAGAUUGUGGAAAUAAAUCAAACAAUAUAUUCAAUUGGACUUAAUUGCAUUAUUACAUGCCAAGUGUCGUAUACCAUCUAUUUGCACAUAACACUUUUUAAUUUAGGUAAAAUUAUUAUCAUAAAGCUACAUGAAUUUAUUUUAUUCCAUGUUAUUAUUUAUGUAUUGUUAGGAACAUUUGCUUAAAAAUCAUAUUUGGACAUAGUUAGUAUCAGAUACUUUACAUCCUUUGAAUCAGUUAUUUUAUAACAGUAUAUACUAAACAUCAUUACUCCUUUUCAAACAUAAAUAACGCAAUACAAAUUGGACAAAAAAUUCAGGAAAGAUCUGGGAUCAAAAAGGAGGUAUUGAAACAUCACAUGUACUCCAUAAUUAUAUACAAAUAUUUUGUACCCAUAAUAUUUAAAAUACAGAAAAUUAAAAGGUGCAUUUUCCUCAAAGUGCAUGCUUCUUUUGCUAUGCAAAACUGCAAGAUAUGGAAAGAAGUGUAUUAAAACACUAAAUCACUUUAUGUGGAAGAUAAAAGGGAUGGUACCCAAUGUAAGACUUCAUGUAGUGCACUGAUACAUUCAAUACAAAUGAUGUAUUAACUUCAAGAUAACAUGAGAAAGUUAAAUUAUCUAACUUAUUUCAAACUAGGGGAUAGUAUGUUCUCAUUAUUAGAAGCCAGAAUUCUGCUUAUCCAUUUCUAUUAUUAGAAAAAAACAUAAUUUUUAUUCUUGUCUUAAAAAUAGACACCAUGAUAUCAUUCUCUGUAAAUGCAGCAUGAUAGUCUGUUUACAGAGUUUAUAUCAUUCCAAGACUGCACUUCUAAAGUGAGAAAAUAUUAAAGGAUAUAAACUCACUCCUCUCUACAAAAUUCCUUAUUUUUUAUGCAAUGGCUUUAAAAUGUAUGGAAGGGGAGUUAUGGAAACAAUCCAUACCUGGAAAGCAUUCUAUCCAUGCCUUUGAAAUGGUUAUCUAGUACUAGAUUCUUAUCAGUGCCUAGCUAUGUAAUGUGUGUAGCUUAAGAUUUUUAAGAAAGAAGGAUAAAAUGCUCAAUAUAAAUUUAAAAAGCACUUUUAUUGGAAUAUUGAAUCAUAUAUUUGCUUUCUGUAAGUCCUUUUAUCUAUAAAAUAAUAGUUGAGAAAGGCAAAUAGAAUAUGUGGAGGAAUUAAAAAUUCAGUUGUAGGGUGGUAAAUGAAAACCAAAUUUUUCAUUCACCACAUUAAAUGUAAAUGGGUAUUAUACUCAAUUUAAGCAGCAAAGUUGCUUUUUUUUUUUUUUUUUUUUUUG